GAUGAACGCUGGCGGCGUGCCUAACACAUGCAAGUCGAACGAAGCGUCUUAAAGGAAGUUUUCGGAUGGAAUUUGGGAUGACUGAGUGGCGGACGGGUGAGUAACGCGUGGAUAACCUGCCUCAUACAGGGGGAUAACAGCUAGAAAUGGCUGCUAAUACCGCAUAAUGCAGCUGGGUCGCAUGACUCUGGCUGCCAAAGAUUUAUCGCUCUGAGAUGGCCUCGCGUCUGAUUAGCUAGUUGGCGGGGUAACGGCCCACCAAGGCGACGAUCAGUAGCCGGACUGAGAGGUUGACCGGCCACAUUGGGACUGAGACACGGCCCAG
RNAcentral lists this ribosomal RNA (325 nucleotides) under uncultured bacterium. Its description in RNAcentral is "bacterial SSU rRNA". It matches the Rfam family "Bacterial small subunit ribosomal RNA", at positions 28 to 334 of the family's 1533-position model. The record is from RNAcentral.